GCCGGGUGGCCUGACGCAGCUGGGCACUGAUAAGGGUCUGUCCACCCUGGCGGGGCUCUCCAGGAGGACGCCCACACACAAUUCCCGGAGCGGGGCAGGUUCCUCCAGCUGCAGGCCCUGAGCACGGCUGACAGCGGCGACUACAGCUGCACAGCCCGCAACGCCGCAGGCAGCACUAGUGUCGCCUUCCGCGUGGAGAUCCACACGGUGCCCACCAUCCGGUCAGGACCACCUGCAGUGAACGUCUCAGUGAACCAGACAGCCCUGCUGCCUUGCCAGGCCGACGGCGUGCCCGCACCCCUCGUGAG
This 308-nucleotide long non-coding RNA is filed under the name Homo sapiens (human). Its description in RNAcentral is "HSALNT0156109". Lineage: Eukaryota; Metazoa; Chordata; Mammalia; Primates; Hominidae. The record is from RNAcentral.